RNAcentral lists this ribosomal RNA (253 nucleotides) under uncultured bacterium. RNAcentral's name for it is "partial 16S ribosomal RNA". It matches the Rfam family "Bacterial small subunit ribosomal RNA", at positions 524 to 776 of the family's 1533-position model. The record is from RNAcentral.
UACGUAGGCAGCAAGCGUUGUUCGGAUUUACUGGGCGUAAAGGGUGCGUAGGCGGCUAUUUAAGUUUGGUGUGAAAUCUCCCGGCUCAACCGGGAGGGUGCGCCGAAUACUGAGUGGCUAGAGUGCGGGAGAGGAAAGUGGAAUUCCUGGUGUAGCGGUGAAAUGCGUAGAUAUCAGUCGGAACACCCAUGGCGAAGGCAGCUAUCUGGGCUAACAUUGACGCUGAGGUGCGAAAGCGUGGGGAGCGAACGGG